Non-coding RNA from Phoenix dactylifera (date palm), 981 nucleotides. NCBI's taxonomy places the organism in Eukaryota, Viridiplantae, Streptophyta, Magnoliopsida, Arecales, Arecaceae. The record is from RefSeq and is a predicted model, not a curated record.
UGAGUCCAUAAUUCUCAAAGCGACCACUCCUCCCUUCAUCCCUCUCCCUAUUCAACUCUUCUCUCUCCCUUCUCUUUCUUUGCUCUCGUCUCUGCGUCCCCUUCUCUUCGGUGAGCUUUUCGGCAGUCUCCGGCAGUGAUUCCUUGCGGCGCUUCGGUCCGAGUGGUAACACUCGAUGCUGAGGAAUCUCCAUUUCCCGAUUGGUUAGUGCCAUGGAUACCAAUCUUGGAUUUGCUCUGUUUUGGUGUUAGCUCUGGACUUCCUCGUAACUGGACGAGCUGGCGAUCGAGAACCACCAAAAGAUCAGCUUCUGUGGAGCAAGCAGAAUAAAGUGAUGGUGGGCUCGAUGAGAAUGGUCCGCCAUGACUGAGGCCGCUUCUGAAGACGAGCUUCUUUGUUCCCUGUGAGGUUCAUGCCGAUUCAACAAGAACAGAUGCAAUAUGUAAUUUUUGGAUUGCAUAGGGCGGGCUCUUUAUUCCUAUUGCCUCGCCAACCACAAGGACCACCACGUUGUUCAGAUUCGGAGGUCAUCGUGCCAUAACAUGAUAAGGUGUCAGAGGCGUCGAAGCUCAACAAGAGGCUGCAGCCGAGGCCUGGAAGAGGGUGACCAACACCUACGAGAUUUGCGGCCGGAGCCUCCUCGAUUCCUUCCGGUAUUUGAUGAUAUUAGACAUUAUUCUGAAAGAUUUCGGAUUUCUAUAAGCAAGACUCCUCCUUGCUUCAAAUGUCUUUUUUUACCACCUCCGGCUUGUGGAGUCCAUGGUCUCCGAGGAGAGCGAUCUCAUCUUCCCCAGCCUCGAGUUCUCAGCCCAGGCCCUUGUCUCCUUCCCUGAAUAAAUACGUCGGCUUGCUCCCACGCCCGAUCUUCAUCCUCCUCUUGUCAACUACUCUGUUUCUUCUUCCUCUUAUUUUAUUAAUCUCUGUAAAGAACUGAAGCACAGGGAAUGCCACCUUAAUUUAAUCUCCAUGCAAAGAGUUCAA